CCGGGUUGAUCCUNNGGANNCACUGCUAUCGGGAUGAGACUAAGCCAUGCGAGUUGCACGCUUCAAGCCACGAUGAGGCGUAGCACACGGCUCAGUAACACGUGGUUAACCUAACCUUGAGAUGGGUACAACCCGGGGAAACUGGGGCUAAUACCCAAUAGGUGAAAGCGCUGGAAUGGUCUUUCACCCAAAAGAUGUUAAGGGCAUGCUUCUUAACAUCGCUCAAGGAUGGGACCGCGUCCGAUCAGGUUGUUGGUGGGGUAACGGCCUACCAAGCCUAUAACCGGUACGGGCCCUGAGAGGGGAAGCCCGGAGAUGGGGACUGAGACAAGGCCCCAGGCCCUACGGGGCGCAGCAGGCGCGAAAACUCUGCAGUGCGCGGAAGCGUGACAGGGUUACCCCGAGUGCCGUCCGCUGAGGAUGGCUUUUACCCAGUUUAAGGAGCUGGGGGAAUAAGGGGAGGGCAAGUCUGGUGUCAGCCGCCGCGGUAAUACCAGCUCCCCGAGUGGUGAGGACGAUUAUUUGGCCUAAAGCGUCCGUAGCUGGCUCAGCAAGUCUUCAGUUAAAUCUGACGAUCCAAUCGCCGGACUGCUGGAGAUACUACUGGGCUAGGAGGCGGGAGAAGCCGACGGUAGUCUCGGGGUAGGGGUGAAAUCCUAUAAUCCCAGGAGGACCACCAGUGGCGAAGGCGGUCGGCUAGAACGCGCUCGACAGUGAGGGACGAAAGCUGGGGGAGCGAACCGGAUUAGAUACCCGGGUAGCCCCAGCUGUAAACGAUGCGGGCUAGGUGUUGGAACGGCUACGGGCCGUUUCAGUGCCGCAGGGAAGCCGUUAAGCCCGCCGCCUGGGGAGUACGGUCGCAAGGCUGAAACUUAAAGGAAUNGGCGGGGGA
RNAcentral lists this ribosomal RNA (892 nucleotides) under uncultured archaeon. RNAcentral's name for it is "bacterial SSU rRNA". It matches the Rfam family "Archaeal small subunit ribosomal RNA", at positions 1 to 875 of the family's 1478-position model. The record is from RNAcentral.